AACGCCUAGAAAUCCCAACCAGGACUAAGCAGUAGUUUGGUAACACCUCUCAUCCGACCUGCUGCAAUGGGACGGGUUUCUGCUUCUCUGUUUUGGAGGUGGGAUCUAACUAUAUAGCCCAGGUUGGCCUGGAACUAGAAAACCCCAGUCUCCUGAGUGUUGAGAUUAUAGACAGAUACCACCAUGCUUGGUCUCAAAUUUAGGCUUUAAAGCCAUUUCCCAGCUUCCGUAUGCUCUAGCAGGGAAAGAGGUAUGUAUGCCUAGAACUCCACGUGCAGCGGGAUUGAACAGGAGUACAGUGAGGGAAUGGAUACUGGCAGUGAAGGGGGAGGUAGGUCCGUGAAUCUCUGCUCCCCAGAGGAAGACUGCCAAGAAGCCAGGAGGCUCUGGAAUGAGGGAUCCUGGCUAGGAAAAACAAAACAAGACAAUCACAUAGUAGAAGAGGAGGCAGGUGUUCCUGAAGGGAAGAAAAGCAAAGAGGUUAUUUUGAAAAGAACAGACCCAAAGGACAGCAAUGGGGGCUUUAGAGGUGGGAGCCAAGGUGCCGAGUCACCCAAGGGACUCAGUGGAGGGUGGGCGGGCAGAGGUGGGGACAUGACAUCAUGAGGCAGGUCACGAUUCGAUUCCCUUCCAGGCAGAGAGAGGAAAGGAGCCCCAGAGUUCCCUACCUGUUUCUCGCCCACAUUUUUACCUGGUGUCUUGUCAUGGAAGGACAAUUCCUACUGAGUAAACAGUUUAGGCUGUGCAUUCAUUGCUCUUCCCUGUGUACUAGGGGCGGAUGUGUGUGUAUGGUGGGUUGGCCAAGCAAUUUUCUAAAACAGUCGAGGGUCAGUUUUUGAAAAUAAAAUAUUUUCGGGAUCUCUAGCCAACUAGGAGGAAGAAACAGGCCUUGCUCCGCAGAGUCCCCUUGAGAUCUUAGAACUGGUGGUUUGUUCAGGAAUCUUGAGAAUAAAACAGGACAGGGUCGAGGGGCUGGAGCAGAGGAAAAGCACUGUCAAUGCCAAGGCCAGUCCGUUCACCCACAAGGUAGUUAUGUGAGGAAAGUGGAGAAAAAAAGCUACGGUUAGGGCGACAAGUGGGACUUACUUGUACUCCAUUUCAGAAAUGACAAGAAGGGAAAGGGGUCAGAAAAAAAAGGACAACCUCUUCCUCUUUGGGAAGCAAGUCUGAAUCCUUCAAAAGAUAUCAAUGGAGAGACUGUUGUUCAUACCCACUUAAUCAUCAGGUUCCCCAGAGAGGCCGUACAUCAACCAGGACAAUGUAGGCAGGUGAGUUUCUUCAACAAAGACCCCAGGUAGCAGCUUCUACCACAACAGCAGCAUGAAGGUCACGCCAAGUGACUGCCAGGAAUGUGGAGUAUUCCUUCCAGUUUUAUGAAAACGGGGUCUCUUAUUCCUUCUUAGGGGGCAGGGAAGGGCUACACAUUUCCUGUGUUGGGGCCCAGACUGGGGUUGUAAUAGACCUUAUGUGGGAUUGCAGUUUCACUGACAGACCUGAGGGGUGGGCUGUAGGGCCAACCACAGCUGAGGAACUUAGUGACCUCCAAGAGGAGUCCCAUAGAGACCUCUGGCCCUGUUGACCCCUGAAGCUACAGAGCACAGGCUGCCCUUCAGCAGUGAGCCUUAGGAAAGGGUAAGACUGCUGGGAAUCUCUGCUUUCCUACUUCUCCCCAGGAUGGGGAGAUUGCUUCCCUCAGGGUAAUAACAAGCUACUACAGAGUACCUGAGUCUGAAUCCGGUUCAGGCCACGGACCCAGAGCACCUGGCCCCUGCGCAGCUCCAUCUCAGCAAGAUCAAUCUCCUCCAGCCCCUCGGCAUCCUUGGUGAUCUCCUCCUUGGCAGCGCCAUGCCCAGCCUCCUUCAGGAACUUCAGAGACUGGAGCUGAGAGGCCCGCAGCCCCAGGAUUUGUAGAGGGCAACCCACACUCACCUGACCCCACAGAAGUUCUCCAAUCCCUAUGAAGAGACACCACAUCCACUGCUCCAUGCUGAGGUCUGUACUCUGAUCCACGUGUCCCAGAAGCCAGAAGAGGGUGUCAGGUCCCCUGGAGCUAGAGUUACAGGUGAUGGUGGGUCAAAUGAUAAGGGUGCUGGAACUCAAACGCUGGUCCUCUCUUACUGCUGAGCUGGGUCUCCAGCCCCAGGAGGAUGUGCUUUUGUGCUGUGACCUGCUCAUAGUCCUUUGUAACCACGUGCCUUGGUGAAUCUCUGAUUACGGCAAGAAGGAAGGGACUCAUCUUCCCACUACCAGGCAGCUGUGCUCCUGACCCUACUUCCUGUAAUGGGAGCCCAGGCCUUGGUUAGCAUAGCAGCUGCACAUGCGCCAACCCAUCACUCUUUCCUCUGUGAAUCAGGCGACAUUUCAAGCAUAAACCCAUUCAGAACAAAAGGGCAGGGGUAGGGAAGAGGGUGGGGAGCUAAUAUUACUUGUACAUACACAUUUUACGUGUGCAGGCAUGGAAAUGGGGUAGAAGAUAGUGGCCCUUCUCUUGGCCACUAUACGAACUGCUCAGUACGUUUAGAAAGAUCAUGAAAGUAUUCUACAAGCCACAUUUGCGGGUCAUUUGCUACCUUGCCCUGGAGCACCCGACUGGGCUCAGUUCUAGAACAAGGUGCACGUGGAAGCAAACCGAGAGUCCCAGCCUGUUUACUCACAGCCGUGGUCCCCAGAACUCCCUCUCUCCUCAUCUUGGGCACAUCAGAGGCCUGGCUCCCAGCUUCUGCUCUCCAGCCCCCAGCCCUCCUACCCCAGCUCCAGACAGAAUCUCACCUGGCAGAAGAACGUGCCUAAAACCACGGAGCAGAAGAUGAUGUUGCGGUAGAUACCCGCAAAGACGUUCUUCUCGCCGUGGAUCUUGCGGGAGUUGAUCUCGUUGAAGAGCUGCAUCAGCACAAAGGUGUUGAAGACAAUGGUGUAGUGCUGGCUGGGUGGGGAAUGGAGAGGCGCCUUCCUGCCACUAUCAAUGUCGAACAGUGUAUCGCCUAGUGGGGCAGGACAAGUUUUAGAGGACGACCGUUAUGGCGAUGUCUUGUCUGUGCUGUAACAAACAAAGCUUGCCUGACUCAGAGUGUGGAGCUAGCCUCUAGUGAGCCACAGACGGCACACACCUUUAAUCCCAGCACUUGGGAGACAAAGGCAGUGGGAUCUCUGUGAGUUCAAGACCAUGCUGGGCUACUUGAAAUUGAGCCAAUCUAAAAGAGAAACAGAGCCAGGCUGUGGCUCACACCUUUAAUCCCUGUACCUGGGAGUCACACACUUUUAACUGCAGCACUAGGGAGGUGGAGUCAGGAAGGGAAUUGGCUGGGCAGAGAGACUAGUAUAAGGUGGGAGGAGACAAGAGCUCAAGUCAUUCAAUCUGAGGACUCAUGGAGAUAGGAUCUUGCCCACUUUGGCCUGAGGAUUCAAUAGAAGUAAAAAGUCUCUCUAGUGGCUGGCUCCUUUACUUCUCUAAUCUUUCAGCAUUUGCUCCAAUAUCUGACUCUGGGUUGUUAUUUUUAAGCCCAAUUAGAAUUCUCACUAUGGACUGAGGUCUCAGUGAGGGUUCAGGCUAAGACAGAACAUGUUAGGACAACCAUGCUGGUAGCUUCUGACCGUUAGAAAGUCCAUUUUAACUGGCCAGUUUCUGAGUUAUGCUAGUUAUUGAAUAUUUUGUUCAAUAAAACAUUUUACAAAUCA
Molecule: long non-coding RNA, 3675 nt
Organism: Arvicola amphibius (Eurasian water vole)
Lineage: Eukaryota; Metazoa; Chordata; Mammalia; Rodentia; Cricetidae
Exons: 3
Source: RefSeq, a predicted model, not a curated record